RNAcentral lists this ribosomal RNA (497 nucleotides) under uncultured bacterium. RNAcentral describes it as "partial 16S ribosomal RNA". It matches the Rfam family "Bacterial small subunit ribosomal RNA", at positions 28 to 507 of the family's 1533-position model. The record is from RNAcentral.
GAUGAACGCUGGCGGCGUGCCUAAUACAUGCAAGUCGAGCGAACAGACGAGGAGCUUGCUUCUCUGACGUUAGCGGCGGACGGGUGAGUAACACGUGGAUAACCUACCUAUAAGACUGGGAUAACUUCGGGAAACCGGAGCUAAUACCGGAUAAUAUAUUGAACCGCAUGGUUCAAUAGUGAAAGACGGUUUUGCUGUCACUUAUAGAUGGAUCCGCGCUGCAUUAGCUAGUUGGUAAGGUAACGGCUUACCAAGGCGACGAUGCGUAGCCGACCUGAGAGGGUGAUCGGCCACACUGGAACUGAGACACGGUCCAGACUCCUACGGGAGGCAGCAGUAGGGAAUCUUCCGCAAUGGGCGAAAGCCUGACGGAGCAACGCCGCGUGAGUGAUGAAGGUCUUCGGAUCGUAAAACUCUGUUAUUAGGGAAGAACAAAUGUGUAAGUAACUAUGCACGUCUUGACGGUACCUAAUCAGAAAGCCACGGCUAACUACGUG